Molecule: long non-coding RNA, 1308 nt
Filed under: Nicotiana benthamiana
Lineage: Eukaryota; Viridiplantae; Streptophyta; Magnoliopsida; Solanales; Solanaceae
Description: long non-coding RNA (NBEN_LNC017377)
Source: RNAcentral
UUUAGGGAUCAGUUUGAAGGCUUCUGAAUCCACCUGCAAAGACAGUAUGUGAAAGGUUGGCCUGGAUUCACGUAUGGGCUGUGGUAUUUGUUAAAAUUCUUACCUUCAUCUGAAGCAUGUAUUUGAUGCUGGUGGUCUUGUUUCUUCUUUGUAUUGGUUCUUUUUUCUGCUGGCUCCUUUUACUUUAUCGUGGUUAAUUCUUUUGCAUAUGUAGGACUUGUUUUGUAAGUACUAUUUUUGGGGAAUAAUAAUUUAUCAGCCUUGGACUACAUUUAGUUCACAUUGGAGGAAACUCAAAUUUGUGCUAAUAUCGUCUCUUCUCGCUGUAGGGAACACAAGUAAAAGUUAGAAGACCAACUGAUUAUAACCCCUCUCUGGCUGCAACACUUGGUCCGAGCCAACCGAAUCCAAACCUUGACCUUGCUGCAGUGGGAUUAUCACCAGGAUCCACUGGUGGGCUUGAAGGUCCUGACCGUAUUUUUGUGGGAGGCCUGCCAUACUAUUUCACUGAAGCCCAGAUUAGGGAGUUGCUCGAGUCCUUUGGCCCUCUUCGGGGGUUUAAUCUGGUCAAAGAUAAAGAAACUGGAAACUCGAAAGGCUAUGCCUUUUGUGUUUACUCUGACGUGUCGGUUACAGAUAUUGCAUGUGCAGCUCUUAAUGGGAUUAAGAUGGGUGAUAAAACUCUUACUGUCAGACGUGCAAGUCAAGAUACUUUACAGCCUAAGCCAGAGCAGGAGAGUAUAUUAAUGCAUGCUCAGCAACAAAUAGCACUGCAGAGAGUCAUGCUACAACCUGGUGGACCUCCUACUAAAGUCUUAUGCCUAACAAAUGUGGUUAGCGCACAUGAGCUCAAAGAUGCUAUUCAAUCUGUGUUGCUUUUUGUUUCUUUCCUUUGCUUGUUUGAACAAUUUGUUCUAGGCUGUCAAAUUCUUAUACUGUUUCUUAAGGGGAAAUGUCGACUGAUCUUUGGGCCUGUGGCUUGUUUGUGGCGUUUGAUUUGCAGAGACUCAUGCUACAACCUGGUGGACCUCCUACUAAAGUCUUAUGCCUAACAAAUGUGGUUAGCGCAGAUGAGCUCAAAGAUGAUGAAGACUAUGAAGAUAUAGUGGAAGAUAUGAGAACUGAAUGCGGGAAAUUUGGUAAAUACAUUCAGUUACUUCAGAUGCAUCAAGCUAGUCUUGUUCUUUCCUUUUAUCACUCAAGCUUUAUAUUUAAUAGUUCUUUUAUGUUUUUAUGUGGCAUAAAUCUUUGCAAGUCUUUAAUAUCAUGAGCUUAGCCAUAAAUAUAAUUGGCUUAAUUUAUUUUUGG